GUACCUGUAGCUCAGCUGGAUUAGAGCGUCGGACUCCGACUCCGAAGGCCGCAGGUUCAACUCCUGUCAGGUACACCA
RNAcentral lists this transfer RNA (78 nucleotides) under Bacillota bacterium. RNAcentral's name for it is "tRNA-Arg". It matches the Rfam family "tRNA". From Rfam's summary of the family: Transfer RNA (tRNA) molecules are approximately 80 nucleotides in length. Their secondary structure includes four short double-helical elements and three loops (D, anti-codon, and T loops). Lineage: Bacteria; Bacillati; Bacillota. The record is from RNAcentral.